This is a long non-coding RNA of Dromaius novaehollandiae (emu), 911 nucleotides long. RefSeq lists it as uncharacterized. The transcript is spliced from 3 exons. The record is from RefSeq and is a predicted model, not a curated record. Lineage: Eukaryota; Metazoa; Chordata; Aves; Casuariiformes; Dromaiidae.
CUUUGAAUGGGACCUUCUAAACUAAAGGAAAAUUGGCCAGAAGAGAUCUUCCUUCCUCUGCAAGAGGGAAUUCUAGAGCACAGACAUUUCACACAGCACCAAGGGGAUAACUACUCUGUGGCUUCUUCUACUACUUAUGAAGCCAGAACAAGGUGACGGUCUGUGCUUUGGACAAAACAAAGCAUUUAGCCUGAGAGCCCUGGGAAGCGAGCGAUGACAAGCCGUUCAUGCACUCUGCAGCAUCUGCCUGGUGACUUGCUCCUCCUUGCGCCUAGCAGGAAAGGUGGAGGAAAGAGAAGUUGGACUUGCAACGAUCUGUCCUUAUUUGUGGAGAAACUACGAACUGUGUUACUCAGCAAGUUAAAUACAGGCUAUUGUGGCCUCCUUUGAGCCGCAUUCAUUCAUCUGAAAGCCAAACUGAGGCUCUGACUGGAUUCAAAUAUUUUUUGGGUAAACUGGAUCAGAACAAACAACUCCUGUCAAUGUAGCUGACCUUGAAGAUUUUUAUUAACUGAUUAAGCUGCCACAUGCAAAGGACAGAAUUGAAACCACAGUCCCAGUUAAAAUUUAGCUACUUUAUUAAUUAAGUUGAGCAGGUCUGGCUUACAUCCUAAACUGCUGGCAUCCUGUAUUGCUAUAAAAAUGUCACCAUUUGUUUUAUUGGAAAAUGCAAAUAAUAUCACUGUCAUACUGAUGAAUCAUUUGGCAUGUAACAGGAUGGGGGAAAAAAGAAGGUUAAUUUUAUAAAAUUUCAUAAAUUCUGUGGUUGCCUUGGUGCAGGGUGCUGGAUCUCUGCAAUGCUUUUCAGGACACAGGAUGAAGUGGGCUCACUUUGCUAUAUAAGUUGCAAUGAAAAUAAAAUGGAAAUUCUUGGGAGCAGGGAGGGGGGAAACUUUCAUGCAGGUGGUGUU